Long non-coding RNA from Macrobrachium nipponense, 1454 nucleotides. RefSeq lists it as uncharacterized. Lineage: Eukaryota; Metazoa; Arthropoda; Malacostraca; Decapoda; Palaemonidae. The record is from RefSeq and is a predicted model, not a curated record. The transcript has 3 exons.
UUUAAGCCAUUUUUCGGACGUCGAUUUUCGUGUUACGACGCGUCUUAAGAACGGAACCCCUGUCGUAACCCAGGGACUGCCUGUAUAUUCUGAAGUGCUCUCAGAAUUUAAAUAAUGACUCAAUUUCAACAAUUUCUAGAACUGUUAUGGUGUCUGCGGUCGUCAAAACCUUUUAGACAUUGCCAGUAAAAAAAUAGCAUAAAAUAUUCGAUCAUAUAAACGUUGUUCCAGUGAUUAAGGCCCUUUAAAAGUGCAUGGAUAGUUAGAUUUUGACAAAAAUAUUCGCUUGUGUUUUAGGCCUUACUGUCUUUGAAUAUCCAUUUACGGUUAAGGGUGUGGUAAUAUAUUCAAUAAGAUUUCAGUGUUCGAGUCACGAAUUCAUUGAACACCAAGGAUCCAAAUACCGUGCUACAUUCAUUAUUCCAAACAGCCAAAAUAAUUUAUAUUUUUCAGUGCAGGGUACGUAGUAAAGAUACGCAACUCCACAAAUGGAUUUAAGUAGUUAGUAACAAAUUUACUAACAAAUUAUCCCGAUCAAUACCGAUCCUUUAUAUACACUCAUCAAGUGGUGUUAAAUUUUCAUCAGUCUUACAUUGAUUCAAUUCUAAGUUUACCAGGAACCUUCAUGUUUCAAAAUGUAGAGAGAAAAUGAUGCAAACAUUAACGAUCAAUAAUAAUUAAUUCAUUUUUCUUGCAUUUAGUAGGACAUAUUAUGAAUAACCGCGAAAUUAUAACACCCUUUUGAAAUGUGAUUACUGGAAUUGAGUGUUUGGUUUUUAUGAUUAUAAAGUUGUGUUCAACAGUCUUAAAUAAUUAAGUUUAAGCAAAAUUGCAAUGGUUUCUGUGGCUAAUAAUAUAUCAAGAAUGCAAGACAUUGUCAUUUCCUUUUAAAACCUAUAUUUGCAUAGUUUCUCCUUUAUUUUAAUUUAUUUUAUUUUAUUUAUCUUUAGGAAACUUACGAAGUACCAGCAAUCGAAGACGUACCCUGAAAUUUUCUAUAUGUUGUAUGCCUGGGGAAUACCUUUAUGUAUAUGUGCAGUGACAAUUAUGAUGCAGUUUAUAGAACCUCAUCAGGUCAGGGGCGAGAUCAGGCCAUAUAUAGCCAUACAUAAAUGUUGGUUUGAAGCCACACAGAAGUAGUGGCACAUUCCCCCUCCUGACGUUGGUGUCUUAAUUGAUGCAAGCCUGCAUCCCAUUUGUUGCAAGUUGGACACUUGGAUGACAUUCAAGUCAGCUGCUUCGAAUCACGUAAGGGCCGUACGGACUCGUGUGAAUGUUUACAGCAGCUGAUGACCGUCCCUAGUAUAACAUUGAAACUAGUAUCGUCGCCACAAACAUACACCAGUUUACAGCAGGAGCCGAACUACGUAUCCACGUCAGUUAUUCGGGAAGCUUCUGUGAGAUCAACUACUCCCGAGAAAUGCAUACAAAUUAAGUAUUGUGUACUGCUACAG